RNAcentral lists this transfer RNA (72 nucleotides) under Romeriopsis navalis LEGE 11480. It matches the Rfam family "tRNA". Rfam says of the family: Transfer RNA (tRNA) molecules are approximately 80 nucleotides in length. Their secondary structure includes four short double-helical elements and three loops (D, anti-codon, and T loops). Further hydrogen bonds mediate the characteristic L-shaped molecular structure. tRNAs have two regions of fundamental functional importance: the anti-codon, which is responsible for specific mRNA codon recognition, and the 3' end, to which the tRNAs corresponding amino acid is attached (by aminoacyl-tRNA synthetases). tRNAs cope with the degeneracy of the genetic code in two manners: having more than one tRNA (with a specific anti-codon) for a particular amino acid; and 'wobble' base-pairing, i.e. permitting non-standard base-pairing at the 3rd anti-codon position. The record is from Rfam by way of RNAcentral. Lineage: Bacteria; Bacillati; Cyanobacteriota; Cyanophyceae; Leptolyngbyales; Leptolyngbyaceae.
GCCGGUAUAGCUCAGUGGUAGAGCACCUAACUCGUAAUUAGGGGGUCGUGCGUUCAACUCGCAUUACCGGCU